CUACGGGUCGCAGCAGUGGGGAAUCUUAGACAAUGGGCGCAAGCCUGAUCUAGCCAUGCCGCGUGAUCGAUGAAGGCCUUAGGGUUGUAAAGAUCUUUCGUGGGGGAAGAUAAUGACGGUACCCCAAGAAGAAGCCCCGGCUAACUCCGUGCCAGCAGCCGCGGUAAUACGGAGGGGGCUAGCGUUAUUCGGAAUUACUGGGCGUAAAGCGCACGUAGGCGGAUUGGAAAGUCAGAGGUGAAAUCCCAGAGCUCAACUUUGGAACUGCCUUUGAAACUCCCAGUCUUGAGGUCGAGAGAGGUGAGUGGAAUUCCGAGUGUAGAGGUGAAAUUCGUAGAUAUUCGGAGGAACACCAGUGGCGAAGGCGGCUCACUGGCUCGAUACUGACGCUGAGGUGCGAAAGCGUGGGGAGCAAACAGGAUUAGAUACCCCUGUAGUC
Molecule: ribosomal RNA, 439 nt
Filed under: uncultured bacterium
Lineage: Bacteria
Description: partial 16S ribosomal RNA
Rfam family: Bacterial small subunit ribosomal RNA
Source: RNAcentral